Molecule: transfer RNA, 73 nt
Filed under: Felis catus (domestic cat)
Lineage: Eukaryota; Metazoa; Chordata; Mammalia; Carnivora; Felidae
Rfam family: tRNA
About the family: Transfer RNA (tRNA) molecules are approximately 80 nucleotides in length. Their secondary structure includes four short double-helical elements and three loops (D, anti-codon, and T loops). Further hydrogen bonds mediate the characteristic L-shaped molecular structure. tRNAs have two regions of fundamental functional importance: the anti-codon, which is responsible for specific mRNA codon recognition, and the 3' end, to which the tRNAs corresponding amino acid is attached (by aminoacyl-tRNA synthetases). tRNAs cope with the degeneracy of the genetic code in two manners: having more than one tRNA (with a specific anti-codon) for a particular amino acid; and 'wobble' base-pairing, i.e. permitting non-standard base-pairing at the 3rd anti-codon position.
Source: Rfam by way of RNAcentral
ACCUGGCUGGCUCAGUGGGUAGAGCGGGUGAUUCUUGAUCUCCAGGUUGUGAGUUCAAGCCCCACGUUGGGUG